This 253-nucleotide ribosomal RNA is filed under the name uncultured bacterium. RNAcentral's name for it is "partial 16S ribosomal RNA". It matches the Rfam family "Bacterial small subunit ribosomal RNA", at positions 524 to 776 of the family's 1533-position model. The record is from RNAcentral.
UACGGAGGAUGCAAGCGUUAUCCGGAAUGAUUGGGCGUAAAGCGUCCGCAGGUGGCUGUGUAAGUCUGCUGUUAAAGAGUCUAGCUCAACUAGAUAAAAGCAGAGGAAACUACACGGCUAGAGUACGUUCGGGGCAGAGGGAAUUCCUGGUGUAGCGGUGAAAUGCGUAGAGAUCAGGAAGAACACCAGUGGCGAAGGCGCUCUGCUAGGCCGUAACUGACACUGAGGGACGAAGGCUAGGGGAGCGAAUGGG